Molecule: ribosomal RNA, 266 nt
Filed under: uncultured prokaryote
Description: partial 16S ribosomal RNA
Rfam family: Bacterial small subunit ribosomal RNA
Source: RNAcentral
UACGGUAGGGGCGAGCGUUGUCCGGAAUGAUUGGGACGUAAAGGGCGCGCAGGCGGCCUGUCAAGUCAGUAGUGGAAUACCAUUUUUCAAGGAUGGAAGUGCUAUAGAAACUGAUGGGCUUGAGUGCAGGAGAGGUUAUCGGAAUUCCCGGUGUAGCGGUGAAAUGCGUAGAGAUCGGGAGGAACACCAGUGGCGAAGGCGGGUAACUGGACUGCAACUGACGCUGAGGCGCGAAAGUGUGGGGAGCAAACAGGAUUAGAUACCCU